RNAcentral lists this ribosomal RNA (695 nucleotides) under uncultured bacterium. RNAcentral's name for it is "bacterial SSU rRNA". It matches the Rfam family "Bacterial small subunit ribosomal RNA", at positions 66 to 754 of the family's 1533-position model. The record is from RNAcentral.
GGGCAGCGUUGGUAGUAAUACCGGCGCCUAGACCGGCAAACGGGUGAGGAACACGUACACAACCACCCUUUUAGUGGAGCAUAACCCGGGGAAACCUGGACUAAUACUCCGUAACAUGUUGGAAAGGCAUCUUUCUGAUAUUAUAGCAGCAAUGCGCUAAAAGACGGGUGUGCGCAUGAUUAGGUAGUUGGCGGGGUAACGGCCCACCAAGCCUACGAUCAUUAACUGGUGUGAGAGCACGACCAGUCACACGGGCACUGAGACACGGGCCCGACUCCUACGGGAGGCAGCAGUAAGGAAUAUUGGUCAAUGGAGGAAACUCUGAACCAGCCAUGCCGCGUGGAGGAUGAAGGUCCUCUGGAUUGUAAACUUCUUUUAUACGGGACGAAAAAACGAUUUUCUAAUCGGACUGACGGUACCAUAUGAAUAAGCACCGGCUAACUCCGUGCCAGCAGCCGCGGUAAUACGGAGGGUGCAAGCGUUAUCCGGAUUCACUGGGUUUAAAGGGUGCGUAGGUGGACUGGUAAGUCAGUGGUGAAAUCUUCCCGCUUAACGGGAAAACUGCCAUUGAUACUAUUGGUCUUGAAUAUUGCGGAGGUCAGCGGAAUAUGUCAUGUAGCGGUGAAACGCUUAGAUAUGACAUAGAACACCAAUUGCGAAGGCAGCUGACUACACAUAUAUUGACACUGAUGCAC